ACGAACGCUGGCGGCGUGGAUAAGACAUGCAAGUCGAACGAGAGAAUUGCUAGCUUGCUAAUAAUUCUCUAGUGGCGCACGGGUGAGUAACACGUGAGUAACCUGCCCCCGAGAGCGGGAUAGCCCUGGGAAACUGGGAUUAAUACCGCAUAGUAUCGAAAGAUUAAAGCAGCAAUGCGCUUGGGGAUGGGCUCGCGGCCUAUUAGUUAGUUGGUGAGGUAACGGCUCACCAAGGCGAUGACGGGUAGCCGGUCUGAGAGGAUGUCCGGCCACACUGGAACUGAGACACGGUCCAGACACCUACGGGUGGCAGCAGUCGAGAAUCAUUCACAAUGGGGGAAACCCUGAUGGUGCGACGCCGCGUGGGGGAAUGAAGGUCUUCGGAUUGUAAACCCCUGUCAUGUGGGAGCAAAUUAAAAAGAUAGUACCACAAGAGGAAGAGACGGCUAACUCUGUGCCAGCAGCCGCGGUAAUACAGAGGUCUCAAGCGUUGUUCGGAAUCACUGGGCGUAAAGCGUGCGUAGGCUGUUUCGUAAGUCGUGUGUGAAAGGCGCGGGCUCAACCCGCGGACGGCACAUGAUACUGCGAGACUAGAGUAAUGGAGGGGGAACCGGAAUUCUCGGUGUAGCAGUGAAAUGCGUAGAUAUCGAGAGGAACACUCGUGGCGAAGGCGGGUUCCUGGACAUUAACUGACGCUGAGGCACGAAGGCCAGGGGAGCGAAAGGGAUUAGAUACCCCUGUAGUCCUGGCAGUAAACGGUGCACGCUUGGUGUGCGGGGAAUCGACCCCCUGCGUGCCGGAGCUAACGCGUUAAGCGUGCCGCCUGGGGAGUACGGUCGCAAGAUUAAAACUCAAAGAAAUUGACGGGGACCCGCACAAGCGGUGGAGUAUGUGGCUUAAUUCGAUGCAACGCGAAGAACCUUACCUGGGCUUGACAUGUAAUGAACAACAUGUGAAAGCAUGCGACUCUUCGGAGGCGUUACACAGGUGCUGCAUGGCCGUCGUCAGCUCGUGUCGUGAGAUGUUUGGUUAAGUCCAGCAACGAGCGCAACCCCUGUUGCCAGUUACCAGCACGUGAAGGUGGGGACUCUGGCGAGACUGCCCAGAUCAACUGGGAGGAAGGUGGGGACGACGUCAGGUCAGUAUGGCCCUUAUGCCCAGGGCUGCACACGUACUACAAUGCCCAGUACAGAGGGGGCCGAAGCCGCGAGGCGGAGGAAAUCCUGAAAACUGGGCCCAGUUCGGACUGUAGGCUGCAACCCGCCUACACGAAGCCGGAAUCGCUAGUAAUGGCGCAUCAGCUACGGCGCCGUGAAUACGUUCCCGGGUCUUGUACACACCGCCCGUCACAUCAUGGAAGCCGGUCGCACCCGAAGUAUCUGAAGCCAACCGCAAGGAGGCAGGGUCCUAAGGUGAGACUGGUAACUGGGA
This 1431-nucleotide ribosomal RNA is filed under the name uncultured organism. RNAcentral describes it as "SSU rRNA". It matches the Rfam family "Bacterial small subunit ribosomal RNA". The record is from RNAcentral.